GAUGAACGCUGGCGGCGUGCCUAAUACAUGCAAGUCGAGCGAACAGAUAAGGAGCUUGCUCCUUUGACGUUAACGGCGGACGGGUGAGUAACACGUGGAUAACCUACCUAUAAGACUGGGAUAACUUCGGGAAACCGGAGCUAAUACCGGAUAACAUAUUGAACCGCAUGGUUCAAUAGUGAAAGGCGGCUUUGCUGUCACUUAUAGAUGGAUCCGCGCCGUAUUAGCUAGUUGGUAAGGUAACGGCUUACCAAGGCAACGAUACGUAGCCGACCUGAGAGGGUGAUCGGCCACACUGGAACUGAGACACGGUCCAGACUCCUACGGGAGGCAGCAGUAGGGAAUCUUCCGCAAUGGGCGAAAGCCUGACGGAGCAACGCCGCGUGAGUGAUGAAGGUCUUCGGAUCGUAAAACUCUGUUAUCAGGGAAGAACAAAUGUGUAAGUAACUGUGCACAUCUUGACGGUACCUGAUCAGAAAGCCACGGCUAACUACGUG
RNAcentral lists this ribosomal RNA (497 nucleotides) under uncultured bacterium. Its description in RNAcentral is "partial 16S ribosomal RNA". It matches the Rfam family "Bacterial small subunit ribosomal RNA", at positions 28 to 507 of the family's 1533-position model. The record is from RNAcentral.